UUUUAUGGAGAGUUUGAUCCUGGCUCAGGAUGAACGCUGGCGGCGUGCCUAAUACAUGCAAGUCGAGCGAACGGACGAGAAGCUUGCUUCUCUGAUGUUAGCGGCGGACGGGUGAGUAACACGUGGAUAACCUACCUAUAAGACUGGGAUAACUUCGGGAAACCGGAGCUAAUACCGGAUAAUAUUUUGAACCGCAUGGUUCAAAAGUAAAAGACGGUCUUGCUGUCACUUAUAGAUGGAUCCGCGCUGCAUUAGCUAGUUGGUAAGGUAACGGCUUACCAAGGCAACGAUGCAUAGCCGACCUGAGAGGGUGAUCGGCCACACUGGAACUGAGACACGGUCCAGACUCCUACGGGAGGCAGCAGUAGGGAAUCUUCCGCAAUGGGCGAAAGCCUGACGGAGCAACGCCGCGUGAGUGAUGAAGGUCUUCGGAUCGUAAAACUCUGUUAUUAGGGAAGAAC
This 461-nucleotide ribosomal RNA is filed under the name Staphylococcus aureus. RNAcentral's name for it is "bacterial SSU rRNA". It matches the Rfam family "Bacterial small subunit ribosomal RNA", at positions 1 to 450 of the family's 1533-position model. The record is from RNAcentral. Lineage: Bacteria; Bacillati; Bacillota; Bacilli; Caryophanales; Staphylococcaceae.